UGGAUAAGUCAGUGGGUGGCGCUAUGUAGCCACAGGACAAUGCCCCAGAAGCAUCAGAACAGCCGUAAUUCCAGGCAAUCUGCAUAUUAUGCCAUCUGACUUGCUGGGUAAUGUCAACAUUUUGGUUUUCCAGCAUCUGCAGUUUGAUUUUCAGUUGGACUGUACAAGUUGGCUGAUCACAGAACCCAGUUGUUAACAGGUGUACAGAGGAGAUCAUUCUGACUGGUUGCAUCACAGCCUGGUAUGGAGGAUCCAAUGCACAGGAUUGCAAGAGGCUGCAGAGGUUGUAGACUCAGCCAGCUCCAUCAGGGGCACAAUCCUCCGCACCAUCAAGGACCUCUUCAAGAGGCAGUGC
Pristis pectinata (smalltooth sawfish) is the source of this 355-nucleotide long non-coding RNA. RefSeq lists it as uncharacterized. NCBI's taxonomy places the organism in Eukaryota, Metazoa, Chordata, Chondrichthyes, Rhinopristiformes, Pristidae. The record is from RefSeq and is a predicted model, not a curated record. The transcript is spliced from 3 exons.